This 253-nucleotide ribosomal RNA is filed under the name uncultured bacterium. RNAcentral's name for it is "partial 16S ribosomal RNA". It matches the Rfam family "Bacterial small subunit ribosomal RNA", at positions 524 to 776 of the family's 1533-position model. The record is from RNAcentral.
UACGGGGGGAGCAAGCGUUGUUCGGAAUUACUGGGCGUAAAGGGCUCGUAGGCGGCCAACUCAGUCGGACGUGAAAUCCCUCGGCUUAACCGGGGAACUGCGUCCGAUACUGGAUGGCUUGAGUGUGGGAGAGGGAUGCGGAAUUCCAGGUGUAGCGGUGAAAUGCGUAGAUAUCUGGAGGAACACCGGUGGCGAAGGCGGCAUCCUGGACCGGUAUUGACGCUGAGGCGCGAAAGCCAGGGGAGCAAACGGG